AGUGAACGCUGGCGGUAGGCCUAACACAUGCAAGUCGAACGGCAGCACAGUAAGAGCUUGCUCUUACGGGUGGCGAGUGGCGGACGGGUGAGGAAUACAUCGGAAUCUACUUUUUCGUGGGGGAUAACGUAGGGAAACUUAUGCUAAUACCGCAUACGACCUACGGGUGAAAGCAGGGGAUCUUCGGACCUUGCGCGAUUGAAUGAGCCGAUGUCGGAUUAGCUAGUUGGCGGGGUAAAGGCCCACCAAGGCGACGAUCCGUAGCUGGUCUGAGAGGAUGAUCCGCCACACUGGAACUGAGACACGGUCCAGACUCCUACGGGAGGCAGCAGUGGGGAAUAUUGGACAAUGGGCGCAAGCCUGAUCCAGCCAUACCGCGUGGGUGAAGAAGGCCUUCGGGUUGUAAAGCCCUUUUGUUGGGAAAGAAAAGCAGCAGGUUAAUACCCCGCUGUUCUGACGGUACCCAAAGAAUAAGCACCGGCUAACUUCGU
RNAcentral lists this ribosomal RNA (491 nucleotides) under uncultured bacterium. RNAcentral describes it as "partial 16S ribosomal RNA". It matches the Rfam family "Bacterial small subunit ribosomal RNA", at positions 29 to 506 of the family's 1533-position model. The record is from RNAcentral.